GGUGGUGGUGGGCGUGGGG
Molecule: microRNA, 19 nt
Filed under: Macrophomina phaseolina MS6
Lineage: Eukaryota; Fungi; Ascomycota; Dothideomycetes; Botryosphaeriales; Botryosphaeriaceae
Description: miR-3897-3p
Source: RNAcentral